UUCCUGGUGGCUCAGAUGGUAAAGCGUCUGUCUACAAUGCAGGAGACCUGGGUUCAAUCCCUGGGUUGGGAA
This 72-nucleotide transfer RNA is filed under the name Ovis aries (sheep). It matches the Rfam family "tRNA". Rfam says of the family: Transfer RNA (tRNA) molecules are approximately 80 nucleotides in length. Their secondary structure includes four short double-helical elements and three loops (D, anti-codon, and T loops). Lineage: Eukaryota; Metazoa; Chordata; Mammalia; Artiodactyla; Bovidae. The record is from Rfam by way of RNAcentral.